This is a long non-coding RNA of Quercus robur (English oak), 546 nucleotides long. RefSeq lists it as uncharacterized. The record is from RefSeq and is a predicted model, not a curated record. The transcript is spliced from 2 exons. Lineage: Eukaryota; Viridiplantae; Streptophyta; Magnoliopsida; Fagales; Fagaceae.
GACCACGUGUGCCCCCACCUAACCCCACUACCCAUCAUUCUCAUCCACUCAAUUUCACCCACAUCUCUUCUCUCUUUUGGCCGGCUCUCUCUUUUCUUUCUUUCAUUUUCUCUCUUUUCAUUUUACUGAGACACGCACACACUCACCCGCCGGCCUCCACUCCAAACCACACCAUCUCACCAUUAUUUUUCCGGCAAGAUCACCAGAAAAAUACUUAGGAACUCCAAAGCAUCUUUAUCAUUUUAUUUGAGAGGAGGCAACAAUCUUUUAAGACAGCUUUUUGGUGGCUAAUAGUAGUUAGACUAACUACUGAUGGAGGCUAAAUUUUUGUAAUGAAUAUAUUAGAUGGUGUACAUCUUAGACUACGCUUGACUCAUUUUUUUAUAUAUUAUAGUGGUUAUAACUGUAUUUCCACUGAUGGGACAAGCUGUUGUUAUGUAAUUGUUUUAUUCAGACCUCUAUUCUUUUGUGGCCAAUGGUCCUUGUAAUUAAUGUUUAGAGUUCUGACUUACUCUGAGAGUAUAUUCUAUGGGGUUAUUAUGAUAA